GAGUUCUCCCUGAGACUUWAAGUCUCCUGAAGGAACGUUGAAGACGACGACGUUGAUAGGCCGGGUGUGUAAGCGCAGCGAUGCGUUGAGCUAACCGGUACUAAUGAACCGUGAGGCUUAACCUUACAACGCCGAAG
This 137-nucleotide ribosomal RNA is filed under the name Salmonella enterica subsp. enterica serovar Panama. RNAcentral's name for it is "partial 23S ribosomal RNA". The record is from RNAcentral. Lineage: Bacteria; Pseudomonadati; Pseudomonadota; Gammaproteobacteria; Enterobacterales; Enterobacteriaceae.